RNAcentral lists this ribosomal RNA (435 nucleotides) under uncultured bacterium. RNAcentral describes it as "partial 16S ribosomal RNA". It matches the Rfam family "Bacterial small subunit ribosomal RNA", at positions 28 to 507 of the family's 1533-position model. The record is from RNAcentral.
GAUGAACGCUGGCGGUAUGCUUAACACAUGCAAGUCGAACGGACUCUUCGGAGUUAGUGGCGGACGGGUGCGUAACGCGUGAGAAUCUGGCUUUGGGUUCGGGACAACCACUGGAAACGGUGGCUAAUACCGGAUGUGCCGAGAGGUAAAAGAGAAAUUGCCUGAAGAUGAGCUCGCGUCUGAUUAGCUAGUUGGUGAGGUAAAGGCUCACCAAGGCAGCGAUCAGUAGCUGGUCUGAGAGGAUGACCAGCCACACUGGGACUGAGACACGGCCCAGACUCCUACGGGAGGCAGCAGUGGGGAAUUUUCCGCAAUGGGCGAGAGCCUGACGGAGCAAUACCGCGUGAGGGAAGAAGGCUCUUGGGUUGUAAACCUCUUUUCUUAGGGAAGAACAAAAUGACGGUACCUAAGGAAUCAGCAUCGGCUAACUCCGUG